UCGCUCGCGUUCCCAUGACGACACGUGUGCGUUUCUGCCCCUCUCGCCCCGGACGCGCUCGCGAGCCGUGGUGGGCGCACGCGCCACUAAGCACCUUGUGGCAACAGGUUUUAGAGCGGCCGCCGCCGCCGAAAUCAGCUUGCCCGGAAUCGAGCAUUCGGUCGAAUUUGACUCGGAUCAAUAUUGAUCGAAGCCGCGGAAGAGCGGAGGCUGGGAAUUCGACAAGGGGAAUCGCGCCCCGAGAGAGAGAGAGAGAGAAAGAGAGAGAGAGACUGUGGAGCAGCAGUAACACGAGAAGGAUGGGCUGCUUGCGGUUAGGCGACAGAGUCUGGAUUAUCGAGGCCUCGUAAUGUGGAUUCCGCAGGAAUAAUGUGCACCUGGAGGGAAAGAGCUGCCGGGGAUUACGGUCGACGACAUGGGAGGAGAGUGGCUGUUACGGGGAGAAUAACGCGGCGAAAGUAUACGGUUCCGUCCGCUCAAGAGCAUCAGCGAAUGGCGUUCGAUAUCCGUGAUGUCUUGGCGCUGUUAUGAUAACAAAGUGCUAUCGUUAUUAAAAAAAAACAUGAUGCAUUGUAAACUUUUUUCAUAUGUUGCGCAGUUAGAUUUGUCGCAAAAGGUGUAUUGCCCAUUGUAUUGCCCCUAAAAAUACCGUUUUUGCCAUAUAUUGCCCUUAAAAAUAUCGUUUAUGCAAUAAUUACCGAGAUAUUAAUUAAAGAUUUA
This is a long non-coding RNA of Odontomachus brunneus, 720 nucleotides long. RefSeq lists it as uncharacterized. The record is from RefSeq and is a predicted model, not a curated record. NCBI's taxonomy places the organism in Eukaryota, Metazoa, Arthropoda, Insecta, Hymenoptera, Formicidae. The transcript has 2 exons.